UUUGAAGAAAUUGUGGAAGCCAAAAAAACCCUAAACCUAACCCUAAAGCACAACCCAUCGCCUAUAAGAACAAGUGUUUCGGUUCAUCAGCUAAGAGAGGUAUCCAACAGAGGCUGCGGGGACUUGAAACUUCUUAAAACGCUUCUCGUUUUGUUUCAGCUGGGAGAGAAGAGAUAGAGAGAAAAACAUUACCCAAUGCCAAGAAAGAGUGAAAAGAGAGAGAAAUGGGGUGGAGACAUGAUACCCAUUGGAGACCCGCAGGUUCUUGCUAAUCACUGAUUAUUGUGUGUUAGUUAAAGGUCAAAUAUUGGGCAAAAAAUUUAGCUCUAAAAUAUUCAAAAAAUCAUUACAAGUUUUCACACCACUCUCAUUACUUUUUUGGAUAAACCUCAAUAUAUCUAUAUCUAUAUCUAUAUUUUUUUUACACAUGUACAAACAUUAAUUAUAGCUCAUUGGGCAUGCUAGUAUUGACUUAAUAAGGAUGGGGAAUGCUAAUCAUUGUUUAAUGAGUGGUUAAAAAUUAGUAUGAGUAAACAAUGCAUUGAAAUAUUUGAAAAGUGAAAGUUUAUCCUAACUUGAUGGUUUUGCUCAUUGCCAUUGGUCAUUGGCAUUUGUUAAGGAUGAAAUAAUAUGUAAAAAAGAGUUGAAAAUCCAAUACAUAUUUCACAUAUCUUUUUACACUUUUAUAUAUUUUAAUGUAUGUUUUUGACAUAUUUUAAUAUAUUUUUUACACAUAUCACAUUUGUUACCAAUCAAUGAGCAAUUGUUAGCAUUUUCUUAUAAUAAUUGAGAAAUGUUAAUCAUUGCUCAAUGUGUGUGAUUGAAAUUGAUAUAUGUGUAAAAAGUGUAUUGAAAUAUGUGAAAAAUGUUUAUUUUAAUAUAUAAAGCCAACCCUUUAUGUAGAUUGAAAUUGGAUCGCUCUAGGUUUGUCUAGAGCAGUUACCAAUCUUAUCUAGCUGUUUUAAUGAGUAACUAUAAGAUUUAACUAAUUCGCACAUAAUAAUAUGGGUUGUGAAAUGUGGGUAUAAUGAUGAUGCAAGUAUUGUGUUUUGAGGUAUAUUUGAUUGAAUCAAUUGGACUGAGAUCCUCUCCCUUACAUGGUUGUGAUGGAGGAUCUCCAUUAUAUCAUUUAAGGGUCAUGAAAUAAUUAUGAGAAUUUAUUACUAUUUUAAAUUUAGGAAUUAUUAUAAACCUUUGGAUGAUGUAAUAGAGAUCUUUUAUUACAAUUUUGGAAUGGAGAGAGAGUAUCACAAUUCGAAACAAUUACCUCUUACUUGAACUUUGACCUUUUUCAUUACACAGUUGCAAUGGAAGAUCUUUAUCAACUAUCCAAUGGCUAUAAAUUAGGUUUUGUGAAUUUAUCAAAAAAGUCAUUUUUAUAACCGUAGGAUGAUGUAAUGAAAAUCUUUUAUUACAACUAUAUAAUAGAGAGGAUCACACUCCCACAGAGACAUUUUGAAUGCUUGCAACCCAAUCCAUUUGUAUAUUUUUUCGCCAUUUUAAAUCAUUUGGUUUAAGCUUUAGCUCCCAUACUACCACCACCAUGGCAUGACAUGUGGAGGUGGUGGUUUUAAUAAAUGAGGCAAUGCAAAAGCUUUACUCCCAUAGUAUCCCUGUAUCUCUUGAUUGAGGUCUCAUAACUAUAGUUCUUAGUGAUUCUUGUUGGGGAGUAACAUGAUCUGCUCCAAUUAUUUUGUAGACAUCGUUUUUAUUGAUUCAGGAGCAUCAUGUUGGCAUGCUAAUUGUUGAGUUGGUGUUUUGAAUUGUUGAAACAUUAUCCCUUUUAAGUAAGGUUCAUUGCAUCUAUUAUUGUAUCAUAGUUGCAUGAAAUUUAAAAAAUUGAGUUCUGAGUUUCUACUCACUGUUUGCCCAAAAAAUAAUGUGUAGGAAAUUUGGAAUUAUCUAGUGAAACUGGUAGGAUAUAUAAUUAUUGAAGGUGCCUAGAUUUAGAGCCAAUUUAAAAUGAGGCCAGUAGUUGUAUGUUCAUUGACUUGAGUUUCAGUUUCAUCCAAGAUUAGGUGCAAUGUGUGCAAUCAUCUUAAGUUCUUCCUUCUGAGUUUGUUUUUCAUCUAUUUGAUUUUGUGUAAGCAUUUUUGCCUCAAUUUUUACUGUUUAUAUAUACUCAUGAGAUUUAUGCUUCUCGAUGAUGAACAAAUAAUAUGAUGAUGAGUCCGAUUUCAUUGCAUUCCUUUAGAAAUUGUGACGACAAAUUGAGGCGUUUGUCUUGAGAGAAUGCUCAUACCCCAAGGCAUUUAUCAAUCUUAGGCAUUUAUCAAUCUCAUGUUUUGCAGAUGAUGAUGGCAGAAGAAAGUGCCAGUGUGAAAUAAAAGGAAGAAAUAACAUUUUUUUCUAGUUGUUUAGUUCUGAAUUGCUCUUUAUUAGAAGUUUAGAACCCAUAUCAGUAGUACAAGAAUAAUUAUGCAAAAAUAUUAUUCAUACACCUUAAUAUUUCAAUAUAUUUUGAGAAAUAUUAGAGAUCAACUCAUUUAAUUUUACAAAUUCACCCACAGUGAUGUGGUAAAGUAGUUGGACCCGUAUCAUUGGGUGUAACAAAUCAAAUAUUGAUACCUAUUAUGCCACAUCAUUGUGGGUUAAAUUGUGAGAUUUUUGUGGGUUUCAAAUAUUUUUCAUAUUUGUAUGUGUAAAAAUAUAUUAAAGUAUUAAAAAUUUAUAUAAAUAUAUUUAACAAGUAUUUUUUAACAAUUAUUUUGAGUGUAAUAGUUAACAAAACUUGAAAUAGUUGCAUAUUUUUUAAACACAAUUUUAUCUUUUUAAAUGCGAACCCCUCUCAUUUUCUCUCUUUUUCCUUUCCUCUUACAAUCCUCUCUUAUUUUUUUCUCUUUUCUUUCUAGCUACUUUUAGUUAGGAUAUUUUUUACAGUUAACAUUAUUGUAGAGUAUCUUUAAUGGAGGUGUUAAAUACUUUGUUUUGUGUUAACUGUGGAGAGUAACUUAGCAAGACAUAGUUAUCAAAGAGGAGAGAUAAUGGGUAGGAGUAUUGAAGAGAAAGGAAAAGAGAGAAAAAGGGGAGGGGGGGUUGCUAUAAACUAAUUGUGUUAAUUGUUAUUUUUUUGUAUUUUUACAUUGUUUGUGGUAGGGUGCAAAUAAAAGAUUGUGAGGAGUGCAUGUGUCACAUGUGUUCAUAUUUUUUUUCUCUCCUCUCAUCUACAUGUAGUUUUUCUAUAUUUAAACUAUAAUAUUAAAUUAAUUAUAAUAUUUUUAUUUUAAAAUAUGGAAAAAAAGUAUUUAUUCAACAAUUUGAUGUUGCCUAAUCAUUCUCAUUCUGAUUUUUAUUUUUAUUUUUAUUUUUUAAAUGGUUUUUAUAUACAAAGAUGCUAGAUCCCAAAUGAAUUAUUAAAUAUUAGGUUUUGUUGAUGAGUGUCGUUAGGCUACUUGAUAAGAAGUUUAAAAUGCUUGUACAUAAUGCAUGUGUGUACAUGUAAUGUAUAAUCAAUUUACAUAUUAUUAAUCAAUAUCCUUAUGACACUCGUUAAUUAAAUUCUUAAAUAUUUUAUUAAAUAUGCACAUGAGGCACGGUGUGAGUAUUUAAGGGGUUGUUUGGGAUGUCUUAAAUAAUUGCACUCUUUGACUCUUUAGAUUAAAAAGCCAAAGAAAAAAAGACGUUUGGGAUAAUUUUUUGAUUUUUUACGAAAAAAUAUGUAUUAAAAAAUUAUAUAAAUUAGUGUGUAGGAGAAGCUUAGGAUCGAAUAGGCAGUACGGUGGAUGUCAGCGUGUGCAGAGUAGUGUAUAGGAGAUGGUUGUCUCCUUGUCGAGCAUUGAAUUGGACAACAACCAUCUCCUUAGCGUGUCCAAUUCAAUACUUGAAAAGUAGGCAAUCAUUUCCUAUACACUACUCUGUACACGUAUAUUUUGUAAAAAGUCAAAAAGUUAUUUCAAACAAUCAUCUAUUUUUUCUCAAUUUUUUAGUUUAAAUAGUGUACUUAUUUAGGAUAUUCUAAACAAUUGCAUAAUAUUUGGCAAUUUAUUGGGAUCCUAACAUUGUUCUUUUUUAUAUAUAUAUGGGUUUUAUGUUUUUCCAUGAUGAUCAAAUAAUAUGAUGAGGAGUAACCAUGGAAUGCGGUAAACCUUUUCUGGCACCCGGCAGUGCGGAGUGGGGAAAAAUGAAAAAGAAGAAAGCUUCCAUUUUUUAUUGCCUUUCUUGGGUCGUAGUUUCGGUUGUAUCACGUUUUCUUGAUAUGAAAUUUCUAGUAUUAUUUUUCUAGAAUUUUUAUGUGUGAUUUAAUAUGAUUUUAUUUUAUUUUAUUUUAUUUUUUUUAUGGUAAUCUUGAGGUACUUUUUUGAUGUGAAUAUUUUGUUUAAAUAGAUAGGUUUUUGAAGAAGAAUUGAUAUUAGUUUGAUCAUCGAAUCAUUUUAUGAUGAUUUUUUCAAUUCUGGGAAAAGAAAAAUGUUGGCACAAAUUGACUGUUCAACACUUCGGUGAGGGGAAUGUUUUUCAUUGCAUAUGCUAAUUCUUUUUUGAGUACAAGUGGUUUGGUAACUUGAUUUUUAGGUUGAAAUCAGUGACUAAAAAAAUUAAAGUUAGUUAAUAAGUUACUAGAAAGACAAUUCAUUUUCUCAUACAAUUAAAAAGUCAUUUUGAAACACUGCUUUUUUCAUCUGAAAGCAAGUUAAUAAAAAAAUCAAGUCGUUGAAGGGGCACUUAUGUGUACUCACCUAGCGACCACCUCACUCUUUUAAUUCGGACUGUAAUAAUACAUUCAUUGAAAUGGCAAAAUAAGUUGAAAAGGCAACAAAAUUUUGUAGUGUUUCUUGCCUUUAAAAGGUAGUAAAAUUUUACUGUCUUAGACGAAAUAUCACUUUUUAAAAAUGGAUAAAUUUAAAAUUCAGGCAUAAGAACUAUGUUGCAAAAGAAAUUAAGUACAGUUCAUUUAUUUUUAGAACUAAAAAAUUCAAAUUAAGGGAUCCAAACAUGAUAAUAAAUGGAAACUUCGAUUAUUUUAAAAUAGAAAUCUUUCUUGUUUUUUGGAAAUACUGAAAUUUCUUUGUUUUGUUUUCAAUUUCACUUGCUGUUUAUUUCAUUUAUAAAAUCAGCAAGGGUAUUGUAUUCACAUAAUGGUGGAAAAAUAAUUAUAUAGACAGAAAUAUCAAAGCAUGAGUAGAGUAAAGGCAACCAAGUGCAACAAAGCCUAACCUUCUAAACGAGCCAUGAAUGAGCUACAAUGCUCAAAUAGUGAUAAGAUCUCUAAGCUUGUUGAUUUGAAGUCAUCUUCUUUAAGCUUGUUGACGGAAUUGGUGGAAGCUAAAGAGAGUUGUAUAUCCAUCAGUGGAGAACAUUGAAGUAAUUGAGCGUGUAAGGGCAAAUUGGACAAGAUUAAUUUAAAACAUAAAAAUGGACUUCGACUUCUAAAGUUUAAAAGCUUAGGACCUUGGCUAUGAAGCACUUCUAAGUUCUAAGUUAAAAUUCAACUCUUAUAGAUUAAUGGUUAAGGAAGGAUUGCUAUUUUUUCCUAUAAUUCAUUUGCAGUGACAAAUUAGAUGCUUUGUAACAUAAUUUUAAUAACUGCAUUGAUUUUUUAUUUUUCUGAACACCAAAAAAGGACUUUUUGUAGGGACAUCAUAGCAUUUGUAGGUGCUGAUCUUGAAAUAAUUGGUUGACGGCCAUAUUAAACCCCAAAAAAAGGAUCCACAAUUGGGGUAAGCGGGAAAUGCACCAAUUUCCAGCACACAAGGCAUAAUUACGAGCAAAGUAUAACAUUGUUAGGUCAUGUUUGUUUGGACGGAUUGGAAAAGGGGAACUGUAAUCCAUCGGACUAUUAAUCUUGAGAUAUAAAGUUCUUAGAUUAUUUAGUUGGAAAGAAUGUGUAUCGGAUUGUUUUAUCAUAAGAUUAGAUGUAUGGAAAUGACUAUUCUAUUGAA
Molecule: non-coding RNA, 5876 nt
Organism: Camellia sinensis
Lineage: Eukaryota; Viridiplantae; Streptophyta; Magnoliopsida; Ericales; Theaceae
Source: RefSeq, a predicted model, not a curated record